GGCUCCAUCGUCUAUCGGCUAGGACACCGCCUUCUCAAGGCGGGAAGCGGGGUUCGAUUCCCCGUGGAGUCACAA
Molecule: transfer RNA, 75 nt
Filed under: Candidatus Kaiserbacteria bacterium RIFCSPHIGHO2_01_FULL_53_29
Lineage: Bacteria; Candidatus Kaiseribacteriota
Also listed under: 1 other name
Description: tRNA-Glu
Rfam family: tRNA
About the family: Transfer RNA (tRNA) molecules are approximately 80 nucleotides in length.
Source: RNAcentral